This 614-nucleotide long non-coding RNA is filed under the name Gossypium barbadense (sea-island cotton). RNAcentral describes it as "long non-coding RNA (GBAR_LNC014455)". The record is from RNAcentral. Lineage: Eukaryota; Viridiplantae; Streptophyta; Magnoliopsida; Malvales; Malvaceae.
ACAUGGUUGGUAUUGAAAAGAUGUCGGUAAAGGAUGUAUUUGUUUGUCGAAGUGUUAAAAACACAACAGCUGGCAAAGGCAUCGUGAGACAAUACUUGGAUGGGACAAGUUUUAGGGUUGUCCUAUCUACACCGCCAUUUUAAUUACUUGGCCGAUCCAUCGGCAUGGCCUUGGUGACCUGCAUUGUGGGUAAUAUUUCUUCAGCUUUUCCUUUUCCAAUCCAUUUAAACGACUAAUAUUGUAAAGGAUCAUCGUAUACAAAACAGAAUGCAAGAUACAUUUAUUUAGAUGCAGAACCUGUCAUCUGUCAAAUAAACUGCAUGCAACACCUGUUUCAGAAGCUUACUAGUAUUUAUACGUUGGCAGAUAUGAGCAUAUACUGCUAUUACUUGAUAAAAUUUUAGAAAAAGUUUCUGAGUUUCUCUUCAUUAUUGUAUUGAAUUGGAUAUAACCUUGCCUAACCCUAGAUGUUCUCUUGUGUGUCUGGACAAUUCUCAGAUCCAGCGCUUUAAGCUAUAUUCAUAAUGGCAAAGCAAAUGCUCUUUUAAUUUAAUAUCUUUUAUGGUAAAGUAAUUAAUUACUAUAAUUUUCUCUCUCUCUUUUUUCCUUUUCAC